UGGGGAAUUUUGGACAAUGGGCGCAAGCCUGAUCCAGCCAUUCCGCGUGAGUGAAGAAGGCCUCGGUUGUAAGCUCUUUCGGUCAGGAACGAAACGGCGAGCUCUAACAUAGCUCGCUAAUGACGGUACCUGAAGAAGAAGCACCGGCUACUACGUGCC
This 159-nucleotide ribosomal RNA is filed under the name uncultured bacterium. Its description in RNAcentral is "partial 16S ribosomal RNA". It matches the Rfam family "Bacterial small subunit ribosomal RNA", at positions 355 to 509 of the family's 1533-position model. The record is from RNAcentral.